Molecule: ribosomal RNA, 180 nt
Filed under: Pantoea sp.
Lineage: Bacteria; Pseudomonadati; Pseudomonadota; Gammaproteobacteria; Enterobacterales; Erwiniaceae
Description: partial 16S ribosomal RNA
Source: RNAcentral
AGCUUACCGUCGCCCGAACCAACAGWGGGARCUUCGUGGUUCUGUCUAUCGGGGAAUCCCAGAUGGGAUUAGCUAGUAUCCGCGGKAAUGGCGCACCUAGGCGACGAUCCCUAGCUGGGCUGAGAGGAUGACCAGCCACACUGGAACUGAGACACGSUCCARACUCAUACGGGAGGCAGC